Molecule: long non-coding RNA, 966 nt
Organism: Xenopus tropicalis (tropical clawed frog)
Lineage: Eukaryota; Metazoa; Chordata; Amphibia; Anura; Pipidae
Exons: 2
Source: RefSeq, a predicted model, not a curated record
UUAUAUGGCAGUGCUAUUGGGCCUGUAAGUCCUGCUAAUGGGGCUAGGGGGGCAGAGGCCGGUAUAUGUUUCACUGGAAGAGAUUGGUGGAGGCCAAUGUUUUUGGCUGAAAAGAAUAAAGGGUCUUUUUUUUUUUUUUUUUUUUACAUUGGAGGGGAUGUGGAGGGUUAUAUUACUUGGGUGAGUGAGUGGUACAGAGGCUGAUGUUUUUGGAGUGGGGGGUGAGACGCAGAGCCUUAUAUUAGGUAAUAUUCAGUACCUGAUAUGUUUAACCUGGUGUAUUUAGUUGGUGUAGAGAUUGAAGAUGCAGAGCCUGGGGUGUGUUUGGAUGGAGCAGAGGUGCAGAGCCUGGGGUGUGUUUGGAUGGAGCAGAGGUGCAGAGCCUGGGGUGUGUUUGGAUGGAGCAGAGGUGCAGAGCUUGGGGUGUGUUUGGAUGGAGCAGAGGUGCAGAGCCUGGGGUGUGUUUGGAUGGAGCAGAGGUGCAGAGCCUGGGGUGUGUUUGGAUGGAGCAGAGGUGCAGAGCCUGGGGUGUGUUUGGAUGGAGCAGAGGUGCAGAGCCUGGGGUGUGUUUGGAUGGAGCAGAGGUGCAGAGCCUGGGGUGUGUUUGGAUGGAGCAGAGGUGCAGAGCCUGGAGUGUGUUUGGAUGGAGAAGAGAUGCAGAGCCUGGGGUGUGUUUGGAUGGAGCAGAGGUGCAGAGCCUGGAGUGUGUUUGGAUGGAGCAGAGGUGCAGAGCCUGGGGUGAGUUUGGAUGGAGCAGAGGUGCAGAGCCUGGGGUGUGUUUGGAUGGAGCAGAGGUGCAGAGCCUGGGGUGUGUUUGGAUGGAGCAGAGGUGCAGAGCCUGGGGUGUGUUUGUAUGGAGCAGAGGUGCAGAGCCUGGGGUGUGUUUGGAUGGAGCAGAGGUGCAGAGCCUGGGGUGUGUUUGGAUGGAGCAGAGGUGCAGAGCCUGGGGUGUGUUUGGAUGGAGCA